CUUCAUUUUAAAGCAGGUCAAGUAUAAGUACUUGAGGUGAACCAAAUCUCCCACUUCAUCAGGUAAGUACCCUAUUGCGCCAAUCAAAAUCAAUACCAACAGAAACUGGAAGCCACAGAGAGUUUGCAGCGGAGAAUAGAAUUCAAUAAUCAAGGAUCGAAUUAGAAGGCUUUUGAAGUUAGGAGGCGGGUCUUGUCCAAACAGAAUAUGUGCAUGGAUGGGCGAAGUAGCCGCUUUAGAAACGAAAUCUUGCUCCUCAACUUCCAAAAGGCAUGAUUUUUCAUAGAAUUCGGAGACUUUUAUUUGACUGUCAAAAAGAUAAAGUUCGUGAAGCAUCUCUAAGCCAAUUAAUUCGUUAAUAAUAUUUUCUGCUGUAUCCUCCAUGAUUUCCCCUGGUUUUUCUGGUAUUAGACCUUGUGCCAACAAAAGCCGAACUACUUCUCCUUUAUCCUUAUAAUAGUUUUUGGAUGCAAUAUAACAAUAAUCUAAGCAAGAUUUGAGAUAAUGAGGAAGCUUCUCAUAAUUAGAUUUGAAAGCUGCUAAAGA
Molecule: unclassified non-coding RNA, 546 nt
Filed under: Hevea brasiliensis (rubber tree)
Lineage: Eukaryota; Viridiplantae; Streptophyta; Magnoliopsida; Malpighiales; Euphorbiaceae
Source: RNAcentral